GGGGAUAUGGCGGAAUUGGUAGACGCUACGGACUUAAAAUCCGUUGGUUUUUUGGACUGUGAGGGUUCAAGUCCCUCUAUCCCCA
This 85-nucleotide transfer RNA is filed under the name Neocystis brevis. Its description in RNAcentral is "tRNA-Leu". It matches the Rfam family "tRNA". From Rfam's summary of the family: Transfer RNA (tRNA) molecules are approximately 80 nucleotides in length. Lineage: Eukaryota; Viridiplantae; Chlorophyta; Chlorophyceae; Sphaeropleales; Radiococcaceae. The record is from RNAcentral.